This 252-nucleotide long non-coding RNA is filed under the name Panax ginseng (ginseng). Its description in RNAcentral is "long non-coding RNA (PGIN_LNC014754)". The record is from RNAcentral. Lineage: Eukaryota; Viridiplantae; Streptophyta; Magnoliopsida; Apiales; Araliaceae.
UCCUACUUAUUGGGUUUCUCGGUCUUAAAUAGGUCGAUGACUACGACUGUUUGGCAUACUCCACAACAAGGUGUUGAUCACCUUCGUACUCCGCUUUAUAGCCAUAUAUUUAACCGCCUUCUUAGGGCUAAAGAGUUCGCAAGUGGACCAGGGAUUGACCGAAAACACUAGUACUAUAUGCCUCGACCGCGACUUGCUGUGGUCUUGGGCAUGGGAAUAGAACCAGAAUAGAAAGCUGAACAAAGACCUUUA